Molecule: ribosomal RNA, 253 nt
Filed under: uncultured bacterium
Lineage: Bacteria
Description: partial 16S ribosomal RNA
Rfam family: Bacterial small subunit ribosomal RNA
Source: RNAcentral
CACGUAGGGCGCAAGCGUUGUCCGGAAUUAUUGGGCGUAAAGAGCUCGUAGGCGGUCUGUUGCGUCCGCUGUGAAAACUCGGGGCUUAACCCCGAGCCUGCAGUGGAUACGGGCAGACUAGAGGUAGGUAGGGGAGAAUGGAAUUCCGGGUGUAGCGGUGGAAUGCGUAGAGAUCCGGAAGAACACCGGUGGCGAAGGCGGCCUGCUGGGCAGUAGCUGACACUGAGGCGCGACAGCGUGGGGAGCAAACAGG